Non-coding RNA from Punica granatum (pomegranate), 652 nucleotides. NCBI's taxonomy places the organism in Eukaryota, Viridiplantae, Streptophyta, Magnoliopsida, Myrtales, Lythraceae. The record is from RefSeq and is a predicted model, not a curated record.
CCAUUUGUUUCUUCCCUUCCUUCCUUGCCCUGUUUUCUCUGCGGAGGGAAUCAAAGAAAAAGAAACAGAGGAGGGAGAUAGAGAGAGCAAGGAAAAAAAAAAACGUGAGUCUAGUCCAUUCCGAGCUCUGCUGCUUAAACUUGGUCUGAGUUGCACUUCAAUUUCUUGCCCGAUUCGGGAUAGUUGGCCUAAGCUCGAUACCUUGUUGUCAUAUUGAUAUACGGGGAUUAAGGAGACUGAAUUCUUGUACUCUGAAGGCCCUACUCAGUGAGCCAUCUUUCUUGGAAUUGUCGCCAUGAGACCACUGAUCCGGCGGGAUACAAAAAGGGACGCCUAGACUGCUGAUCCGGCGGGAUACAAAAAGGGACGCCUAGACCGCUGAUCCGGCGGGAUACAAAAAUGGACGCUUAGACUCUUACUGCCGGAGGAUAAUGGGCAGCCCCCGCGUAUGGGAAAGGAAAUGAGGAAUUUGUGGAUAUGAGUGCGGGGUCACGGUACCGUCACAACUCUGUUGCGAGGAAAUGCAACCCUAUGGCUAUAUUGAUUGGGGUUGGGGAGACUGAGGUUUUACCUCCGGAAGGCUCGACUCAUUAAGUGGUCGUUUCAGGGGUGUUUAUGAGCUAGGAGCUGGACUAGCCGCACAGGAGGACUU